UGAGUACGAGAUGCUACGGCGUCGAAGCAGUCUAUGUCAUACUUCCAAGAAAAGCUUGCACUGUCAUAAACAAAUAAUGCCUGUACCAUAACCGACACAGGUGGGUAGGUAGAGUAUACUAAGGGGCGCGAGAUAACUCUCUCUAAGGAACUCGGCAAAAUGACUCCGUAACUUCGGGAGAAGGAGUGCCUUAUUUAUAAGGUUGCAAUAACAAGAUCCAAGCAACUGUUUACCAAAAACACAGGUCUCCGCUAAGUCGUAAGACGAUGUAUGGGGGCUGACGCCUGCCCAGUGCCAGAAGGUUAAAGAAGUUGGUUAGCAUUCGCGAAGCUGAUAACUGAAGCCCUGGUGAACGGCGGCCGUAACAAUAACGGUCCUAAGGUAGCGAAAUUCCUUGUCGGGUAAGUUCCGACCCGCACGAAAGGCGUAAUGAUUUGGAUACUGUCUCGGAGAGGGGCUCGGUGAAAUAGACUUGUCUGUGAAGAUGCGGACUACCUGCACCUGGACAGAAAGACCCUAUGAAGCUUUACUGUAACUUGAGAUUGAAAUUGGACUUUAUUUGCGCAGUAUAGGUGGGAGGCGUUGAGAAUAAUCUUGCGGGAUUAUUGGAGCCAUCAGUGAGAUACCACUCUUGUAAUGUUAGAUUUCUAACUUUGGAUCAUUAUCUGGUCAAAGAACAGUUUCAGGCGGGCAGUUUGACUGGGGCGGUCGCCUCCCAAACGGUAACGGAGGCGCACAAAGGUUUCCUCUGAACGGGUAGAAAUCGUAUCUAGAGUGUAAAGGCAUAAGGAAGCUUGACUGUGAGACCUACAAGUCGAGCAGGGACGAAAGUCGGUCUUAGUGAUCUGACGGUGCUGAGUGGAAAGGCCGUCACUCAACGGAUAAAAGUUACUCUAGGAUAACAGGCUGAUCUCCCCCAAGAGUUCACAUCGACGGGGAGGUUUGGCACCUCGAUGUCGGCUCAUCGCAUCCUGGGGCGGUAGUACGUCCCAAGGGUUGGGCUGUUCGCCCAUGAAAGCGGUACGCGAGCUGGGUUCAGAACGUCGUGAGACAGUUCGGUCCAUAUCCGGUGUAGGCGUUAGAAUAUUGAGAGGAGCCUUCUCUAGUACGAGAGGACCGAGAAGGACAUACCUCUGGUGUACCAGUUAUCGUGCCAACGGUAAACGCUGGGUAGCUAUGUAUGGAGUGGAUAACCGCUGAAAGCAUCUAAGUGGGAAGCCCACCUCAAGAUAAGUAUUCUCAUC
Molecule: ribosomal RNA, 1244 nt
Filed under: metagenome
Description: bacterial LSU rRNA
Rfam family: Bacterial large subunit ribosomal RNA
Source: RNAcentral